RNAcentral lists this transfer RNA (84 nucleotides) under bacterium. RNAcentral describes it as "tRNA-Leu". It matches the Rfam family "tRNA". From Rfam's summary of the family: Transfer RNA (tRNA) molecules are approximately 80 nucleotides in length. Their secondary structure includes four short double-helical elements and three loops (D, anti-codon, and T loops). RNAcentral also lists the same sequence under 1 other name. The record is from RNAcentral.
GGGCGAGUGGCGAAACUGGCAGACGCGCACGGUUCAGGGCCGUGUGGGAGUAAUCCCAUGGAGGUUCAAGUCCUCUCUCGCCCA